AUUUAGAAUUUAAGCCUAGAUACUUGAGCAGUUUUUCUAUAACUGAGCAAAAAAACAAAGUAGCUCUUGAUGGUCCACUAAAAUGAGUCUAACCAGGGACUCCCUACAGGUUGUAUAUAGUAAACUACAUUUUCGUGGAAUAUGAGAAUUACGUUAAAAGAGUACCAACUAAGAAUAAUUUUAUUGUUCAUGGAAGAUAGGGUAAAUCUCAAUGUUAAUACUGCCUUAUUUAUACAUGUACUAAUCAAAGGAGCCAUUAAACUGUUUUUCCACACUAUUAUACUAAGCACAUUUCACAGCUUUACAUGUCAUCUGGGCCCAGUGUGGUGACUCAUACCUGUAAUCCCAGCACUUUGGGAGGCCAAGGCAGGAGGAUCACUGAGCAACAUUAGGAGACCUCAUCUCUACAAAAAACUUAAAAAUUAGUCGGGUGUGGUGAUGGGUGCCUGUAGUCCCAGCUACUUGGGAGGCUGAGGCAAGAGGAUUGCUUGAGCCCGGGAGGUUGAAGCUGCAUUAUUGAGCCAUGAUCGCACCACUGCACUGCAGCCUGGGAGACAGAGUGAGACGCUGUCUCAAAAAAAAAAAAAAAAAAAAAAAAAAAAAAAAACAGUUGUCUCAAGUCAGUAAAUUCUAUUUUGGAUAAGUAGUAAAGAAUGGGUUUUGGAGGUGUAUUUUUUUAAAUCUUGUAGGGGACAAGUAGUCUAUUCCAGCAGGUAGAUACUAAUCUUUCUUUUCUUUCUAAGUUUAUACUCUAAAGUUUUAUUUUGUCAGACUUUUUCACAGGGUACCUUUAGUGGUUGCCAAUCUGGGCAUGUCUGAACAACUGGGUUAUAAAACUGUAUCAGGUUCCUGUAUGUCCACUGGUUUUAGCCGAGCAGUACAAACACACAGCUCUAAAUUUUUUGAAGAAGAUGGAUCCUUAAAGGAGGUACAUAAGAUAAAUGAAAUGUAUGCUUCAUUACAAGAGGAAUUAAAGAGUAUAUGCAAAAAAGUGGAAGACAGUGAACAAGCAGUAGAUAAACUAGUAAAGGAUGUAAACAGAUUAAAACGAGAAAUUGAGAAAAGGAGAGGAGCACAGAUUCAGGCAGCAAGAGAGAAGAACAUCCAAAAAGACCCUCAGGAGAACAUUUUUCUUUGUCAAGCAUUACGGACCUUUUUUCCAAAUUCUGAAUUUCUUCAUUCGUGUGUUAUGUCUUUAAAAAAUAGACAUGUUUCUAAAAGUAGCUGUAACUACAACCACCAUCUCGAUGUAGUAGACAAUCUGACCUUAAUGGUAGAACACACUGACAUUCCUGAAGCUAGUCCAGCUAGUACACCACAAAUCAUUAAGCAUAAAGCCUUAGACUUAGAUGACAGAUGGCAAUUCAAGAGAUCACGGUUGUUAGAUACACAAGACAAACGAUCUAAAACAGAUACUGAUAGUAGUAACCAAGAUAAAGCGUCCAAAAUGAGCAGCCCAGAAACAGAUGAAGAAAUUGAAAAGAUGAAGGGUUUUGGUGAAUAUUCACGGUCUCCUACAUUUUGAUCCUUUUAACCUUACAAGGAGAUUUUUUUAUUUGGCUGAUGGGUAAAGCCAAACAUUUCUAUUGUUUUUACUAUGUUGAGCUACUUGCAGUAAGUUCAUUUGUUUUUACUAUGUUCACCUGUUUGCAGUAAUACACAGAUAAGUCUUAGUGCAUUUACUUCACAAAGUACUUUUUCAAACAUCAGAUGCUUUUAUUUCCAAACCUUUUUUUCACCUUUCACUAAGUUGUUGAGGGGAAGGCUUACACAGACACAUUCUUUAGAACUGGAAAAGUGAGACCAGGCACAGUGGCUCACACCUGUAAUCCCAGCACUUAGGGAAGACAAGUCAGGAGGAUUGAUUGAGGCCAGAAGUUAGAGACCAGCCUGGGCAACGUAUUGAGACCCAUCUCUCUU
This 1920-nucleotide small RNA is filed under the name Pongo abelii (Sumatran orangutan). Its description in RNAcentral is "retained intron". The record is from RNAcentral. Lineage: Eukaryota; Metazoa; Chordata; Mammalia; Primates; Hominidae.